This 414-nucleotide small RNA is filed under the name Arabidopsis thaliana (thale cress). Its description in RNAcentral is "ATSL029400". Lineage: Eukaryota; Viridiplantae; Streptophyta; Magnoliopsida; Brassicales; Brassicaceae. The record is from RNAcentral.
UUGCAAUUGAUAAAAGAAGAAUAAAUUUUGGUAAGAUAUCAUUAGCAUUUAAAACAAAAAUUAUUUUUGAAUCAAGUAAUUGUAGAUAUGGUUAGUUAUGAUUGAUUUCCAUAUUUUGCUAAUUAGGAAAUUAGCAUUAAUGAAUUUCGUAGAGUUUUAGGGAUUGAUUUGUGCAAUUUACGAGGGUAGUAGUUAACAAUAUCUAUGUUUAGGCAAGUAGUUAGUACAAUAUCUUAAUUGUUUAUCAAAAAUUUGGUCAUUGUCCUAAAGAAAAUAUCUUGUCUGAUUGAUUUUGUAGGGACUAAACAUAUAAUAUCGAAAUUAAAAAAGAAUUUUUCGACACAAAUCGUCCCCAAAAAUAUAUAUGUAGAUGAUUAUUUUAAAAUUAUUAUUGUUUAUCAGUGAAAGACUUCU